Long non-coding RNA from Grus americana (Whooping crane), 3489 nucleotides. RefSeq lists it as uncharacterized. The record is from RefSeq and is a predicted model, not a curated record. The transcript has 2 exons. NCBI's taxonomy places the organism in Eukaryota, Metazoa, Chordata, Aves, Gruiformes, Gruidae.
UGGGGCAGUUCAUUCCAUGAUUCAGUACAGAGGUAGAGCAUCAGCCACUGUUCUUGUUCAGCAAUGACUAAAGCCCGCUGGAUGGCUUUCACCUCUGCAAACUGACUUGAUUCAACUUCUCCUUCAGCAGCUUCUGUGACUCCUCGUGUAGGACUCCACACAGCAGCCUUCCACCUCCGAUGUUUUUGCACAGUGCGACAGGACCCCUCAAUGAACAGGGCACAUUGCUUCUCAUUUUCUGGCAGUUUACUACAUGGUGGGGCCUCUACAGCAUGUGUUACAUCUUCCUCUGCAAUAUUCCAAAAUCUUUGCCUUCUGACCAGACCAUGAUCACUUCCAGAAUUCCUGGGUGACUGGGUGUAAAGCUCUGAUAACAAGGGAAUGUCACAAACAUCCAUCUUGACCCAAGCAGGGAUAAACUGAUAAUGAGGGAAUGUGGCAGACAUCUGUCUCUACCAAGGACAGAACCUGCAGAGGCAGGAUACCUUCCUGUGAGCCCCUUCCCCUAUUCCUGAAACAUGUGGACAAAAGACCAUCUGUCUCCACACGUGCCAUCACUCGGUCGACCCCGAAUUGGGGCGGGACAGUGAGACCCCCAAGACCCCCACAACCCACCAACUCAUUUCUGGAACAUUCCUGAGCACGUCCUGUGCCUGCUUAGUGAUGACAGACCUCUGCCUAUGGAAAAGGGACAUUGGGUUAUAGAAAGGGGAAAGACAUGUUUUUGGUGCAUGCCCACCACCUUAGGUCUACCACUAUGAGCAGAGAACAUCGCUGGAUCCAAGGGUCUAACUACUGGAAACAUCCUCCACCUCAGAAAGCUGAAGCUGGUGCUACUUUUGGGAAUUUGUACUCGUAAUCUGUGUGAUACAGAGAGGUAACAUAGCCAAACCACGAUUGUGAAUUCUGCUCAACACCGGCAAUUGUGGAUCUGGUCCUAUGUUCUUUGUCUCUCCCGAUGCGCUAUAGGAACCACAAGCCAAAGUACCCCAAAUGUGGCUUGGGAAUUAGUUCAAGGUUUUGUUAGGAUGUGGGGUUACCAAAAUAAAGGUCUGUGUAUUUAAAGAUUUUUAUGUCCCCUGUAAGUCUGUCGUUUAUCUUUAUUAUGACUAAUGCCACCUCUGGAACACUCCUGUCAAAAAAUUGGACCAUCAAGAAUAACUGAGUGUAUUUUUGGCUACAGCCAAUGAUAAGAUGCAAUAUAUAUAGCGUCUGGAGUGAACCUCCAAAAUGAGCCAAAGAUGCGAAGUUAUCCUCAACAGUGGCGUGUAAAGUUACCAGACCACCGGUUAAAGUCUCUAUCCCUUCUCCGAUAGGUGGAUCAAACCCCUUAUUUACCAGCACCAAAGGGAACAUACCUGCUGCAAAUGUCACUUUUGACAAAUACACCAGGGAAUACUCCUGUCGUUAUUAUCCAUGGGAUCCUCUGUUUGAUCCAUUGGCAAAACCUGAUUUCUAUGAAGCAAACUAUUCUACUCAAUGGAACCCAGAAUGGUGUAUCCUACUCCCGAAUAAGACCCAUGUAACCUCUUGAGAUAGAAACAAUUUGAUGUGGGCUUGGUCAGGGAACAAAGUGCGACAAGUUUUUAUAGAGCCCAAAUCUGAUCCACCUGUCAGGGAAGCUGAAAACCCCCUUUUUAAUUGUUCUGAGACAAUCACUUGUGAUUCAGGACCAGGAGAUCCUCCUGAAACUUGGUUUAUUGAUAGUCUCAGAACUCUAACCUGAGAUAUGUGCACAUGCUGGGGAUAUCCUUCAAAGGGAUGGCAAAAUAGUGAUAAAACUUGUAACCUCACUCUUCCCAGUAGUCACAAUUUUAUUAAACAGGAAUGGUGUGGAAUACCCUUCACUCAUUAUCCCCUACAAGGGACACCCUUAAACACCAAGCCUAUUAUAUAUGCUGUGAAUUAUAUGGAUCAAUAUACCUGUAAAACUAGCAUAUAUCCGGCCCCGUUGGGGUUAGCAUGGGGAUGCUCCAAUGGAAAAUUUUACUCUUACUUAACAUUGGAAUAUCAUGCUGGCCUGAGGUGUGGAUUAGCUAUCCCUUCUUUGUGUCCCUCUCGUGUUUUCAAUUUUACAGUACUUUCCCAGCGAUCGCGUAGAGAGGUGGGAAGUAAUCCAAAGGCUCGCCCCAACUGGGCCAUUAAUGGAGUCGAAACUCCCAAUUAUUAUACUGCUGGACAACUAACUGUGUUAAUGUUUGACAAUAUUUUUACCCCUUAUGUAACCUUAAAAAUUACACCAAUUGCUCCUGGAAAAUAUUACCUGGCAGCUGCAUCUUUUAAGUAACUGGACACGAUAUGAUUUUGGAGAAUUAAAUUUACAGGUCCAACAGGUAUCGAGGAUGACCCUUCAGAAUCGUCUAGCCCUGGAUAUGAUAGUGCUUAAACAACAAGGAGUUUGUGGGAUGUUAAAUCUGACCGAUGGAGAAUGCUGCAUCACCAUACACAAUGCUACUGCCUCAAGAGAGGAAGCUCGAACAAGAAUGAAGGAGGUAACAGACCAGAUGGCGGAACUCUUUCAAUCCAUGCAACCGAAAGACUCGUUUGAUGGCGAGACCCCAAACUCUUGGUUACAAUCCAUCCUACGAUCCAUGGGACUCAGGGGAUGGGGUCAUGGUUAAUGAAAAUAGGACUAACAUUAGUUGUCGGUUUCAUAUUAUUAAUGAUUGGCAUAGCUAUUGUUCGCUGUAUGAUUACCCAUGCCAUCUCUUCCUUCUCUUCUCACCUUUCUCCUUCUGUUCACUAUGUGAGAAUCACCACCCUAGAAGAUGAUCUCCAAGAAGUAGUCAAGACAUUUGUUUGAGCCACGGGGUGGUGUAAGGCCCUCAUAACAAGGGAAUGUCGCAAACAUCCAUCUUGACCCAAGCAGGGAUAAAGUGAUAACGAGGGAAUGUGGCAGACAUCUGUCUUGACCAAGGACAGAACCUGCGGAGGCAGGAUACCUUCUUGUGAGCCCCUUCCCCUAUUCCUGAAACAUGUAGACAAAAGACCAUCUGUGUCCUGUGCAUGCAUGCCUGUGAAGGGCCAUCACCCAGUUAAUCCCGAAGGGGGCAAGGGGGGGGACAACACACAGUGAGACCCCCAAGACCCCCACAACCCACCAACUCAUUUCUGGAACAUUCCUGAGCACAUCCUGUGCCUGCUCAGUGAUGACAGACCCCCACCUAUGCAGAGCAUUUUGGGUUAUAGAAAGGGGAAAAACAAGUUUUUGGCGCUCACCCACCACCUGAGGACUACAGCUACAGGCAGAGAACACCGCUGGAUCCGACAGUGGUGAUAUCUUUUCUCUCUCUUUCUCUUUCUCUCUUUUUCAUUUCCUCUCCAUCACUCUCUUUGUCUCUAACUUCAUUUUUGGCACAUUAAGUUAAUGUCACAAGUUUUGCUAAGCCAUUACCUUUUGUAGGUCUGCUAAGUUUUAGGUGUUGUUUUAACUUUGGCCUUCCCACUAUCUGUUGUAGUUCUGAGUUUUAAGUAACUUUGUGAUUUGUU